RNAcentral lists this long non-coding RNA (2902 nucleotides) under Populus tremula. RNAcentral describes it as "long non-coding RNA (PTRE_LNC000909)". The record is from RNAcentral. Lineage: Eukaryota; Viridiplantae; Streptophyta; Magnoliopsida; Malpighiales; Salicaceae.
GCUAUAAAAAAUCCUGGCGAGUGAAAAUGAAAAGCAGCAGCCCAAGCAACGCCGAGUUAAUUACGAAAUAUGCCAGCCCAAACAUUCCUUGCAGCACUGAAAAAGCAGACUUCAUUUUCCAUUCGAAAACUAAAGGGGUCCUGGGAGCCAAACAAACAGCGUCUAGGAUAAGUAGGUUAGGAAUGAGAAUUGUUGACUGCAAUCCAAAAUAAAGUGAGGGGACACCAUGCCCUGCUAUAAGCAUCAUGACCGCAAGUGUUGAUUCCGAAAUAUGCCAGCCCAAACAUUCCUUAAAGCACUGAAAAAGCAGACUUCAUUUUCCAUUCAAAAACUAAAGGGGUCCUGGGAGCCACAAACAAACAGCAUCUAAAAUAAGUGGCAUGGAAUGAGAAUUGUUGACAGCAAGCCAGAAUAAAGUUAGGGGACACCAUGCCCUGCUAUAAGCAUCAUGACCGCACAAAUGAGUAUGCCAUUUGCAAAAAAGACUUUGUUAAAUUAAUUCAGAAUCGUGCAAACUGAAGAGGAAGUAAAGGAAGCAAACCAGUCAGACAAAAUUCUCACAUCACUCGCCCUCCAGCACUGUCACAGGUUUCCAAAAAAUAUUAUAAAUUAAGGGGACACCAUGCCUGCUAUAAGCAUCAUGAUCGCACAAAUGAGAAGAGUAUGAUACCAAUUUGCCAAAAAGACUUGUUAAAUUAAUUCAGAAUCGCGCAAACUGAAGAGGAAGUAAAGGAACCAAACCAGCAAGACUAAAUUUUCUCACAUAACUCGCUCUCCAGCACUGUCACAGAUUCCAAAAAGAUUAAUUAUAAAAUUAGGGGACACCAUGCCCGGCUAUAAGCAUCAUUCGCACAAAUGAGGAGUGUGUGAUACCAAUUUGCAAAAAAGACUUGUUAAAUUAAUUCAGAAUCGCGCAAACUGAGGAAGUAAAGGAACCAAACCAGCCAGACAAAAUGUUCUCAACAUAACUCGCCCUCCAGCACUGUCACAGGUUCCAAAAAGAAUAAUUAUAAAGUUAGGGGUCACAAUGCCCUGCUAUAAGCAUCAUGAUCGCACAAAUGAGGAGUGUGUGGCACCAUUUUGCAAAAAAGACUUGUUAAAUUAAUUCAGAAUCGCGCAAACUGAGGAAGCAAAGGAACCAAACCAGCUAGACAAAAUGUUCUCAACAUAACUCGCCUCCAGCACUGUCACAGGUUCCAAAAAGAAUAAUUAUAAAGUUAGGGGCCACCAUGCCCUGCUAUAAGCAUCAUGAUCGCACAAAUGAAGAGUGUGUGGCACCAUUUUGCAAACAAGACUUGUUAAAUUAAUUCAGAAUCGCGCAAACUGAGGAAGUAAAGGAACCAAACCAGCCAGACAAAAUGUUCUCAACAUAACUCGCCCUCCAGCACUGUCACAGGUUCCAAAAAGAAUAAUUAUAAAGUUAGGGGUCACCAUGCCCUGCUAUAAGCAUCAUGAUCGCACAAAUGAGAAGUGUGACACCAUCUUGCAAAAAAGACUUGUUAAAUUAAUUCAGAAUCGCGCAAACUGAAGAGGAAGUAAAGGAACCAAACCAGCCAGAAAAAAUGUUCUGAACAUAACUCGCCCUCAAGCACUGUCACAGGUUCCAAAAAGAAUAAUUAUAAAGUUAGGGGUCACCAUGCCCUGCUAUAAGCAUUCAUGAUCGCACAAAUGAGAAGUGCAAUCCCAUUUUGCAAAAAAGACUUGUUAAAUUAAUUCAGAAUCGCGCAAACUGAGGAAGUAAAGGAACCAAACCAGCCAGACAAAAUGUUCUCAACAUAACUCGCCCUCCAGCACACUCACAGGUUCCAAAAAGAAUAAUUAUAAAGUUAGGGGUCACCAUGCCUGCUAUAAGCAUCAUGAUCGCACAAAUGAGGAGUGUUUGGCACCAUCUUGCAAAAACAACUUGUUAAAUUAAUUCAGAAUCGCGCAAACUGCAGAGGAAGUAAAGGAACCAAACCAGCCAGACAAUUUUCUCACAUAACUCGCCCUCCAGCACUGUCACAGGUUCAAAAAAAUUAAUUAUAAAGUUAGGGGUCACCAUGCCCUGCUAUAAGUAUCAUGAUCGCACGAAUGAGAAGAGUGUGACACUAUUUUGCAAAAAAGACUUGUUAAAUUAAUUCAGAAUCGCGUGAAGAAGAAGUACCGGAAUCAAACCAGCCAGACAAAAUUUUCUCACAUAACUCGCCCCCAGCACUGUCAAGUGUUCCCAAAAAAAAUUAUGUAGAAAAUAAUUCUUUGAAUCCUUGUUUCCUCAAACAUUAGCUUAAAGCUUCCAAUAUAGACCCGCACCAAAUACCACAAAUCAGAACUAUAAUAAAUUGCAGAGAGGAUGAAAUCCAACGCAAGGAAAGGAAAUUCAAGGCAGGAUCUUCUACACGUCAAGAUUACAACCAAAUAAACAUAUCCAAACGAUUUCAAUCCUGGAAGUGACAAAAUCAACUGUCUAUCAUGUGAAUUUGAGUAAUUAUCCAAAUUCAAGGUAAAGAUUUAAAGGCUAAUCAAACACGAGAGGCACAGAAGUUGAUCCAAACUCCAAGCAUAUGCAACACGAUCUAAAACUAUUCAAUAUCAGGAGAAGAUUUCAUAAAUCGAGAAACCCUAAUUGCGUAGAGCAAGAGAACAAAACCAUAAUUUACGGAUCGUAUGACAAAACCUAGUUUCCCCUUGUCGCUGAAACCCUGCAUCCACAGAUCGCUGAAACCAUAGCAUCCACAGAUUGCUGAUACCCUAAUUAGCAAAAAGAUCGAAAGAAGUAAACGAAGAAGGAAAUACCAAGAACUUGAAGCCGAAGGAAAUACCACGAAAGAGACUAGAUCAAUGCCUCGCAGGAUGGCUUGCAGGUUAAGAAUUAUAUGAAUGGAUGCCUUUAUUUAUAGAUCGAAGAGCUGGAGUUAAUGGCUGG